GUUUAUGGUAUCUCUGAAGGCUGGUGGUAUGUGUUUACAGUACAGCAUGGUAUCUCUGAAGGCUGGUGGUAUGUGUUUACAGUACAGCGUGGUAUCUCUGAAGGCUGGUGGUAUGUAUUUAUGGUAUCUCUGAAGGCUGGUGGUAUGUGUUUACAGUACAGCAUGGUAUCUCUGAAGGCUGGUGGUAUGUAUUUAUGGUAUCUCUGAAGGCUGGUGGUAUGUGUUUACAGUACAGCAUGGUAUCUCU
Molecule: long non-coding RNA, 247 nt
Organism: Oncorhynchus keta (chum salmon)
Lineage: Eukaryota; Metazoa; Chordata; Actinopteri; Salmoniformes; Salmonidae
Exons: 3
Source: RefSeq, a predicted model, not a curated record